UCUCCCCCUCUUUCCACGGCCCGCACAUAGUCAUCUCCCUCAUCAAGCCAGGAGUCCCACUAUUCCCAUCGUCGUAGCCCUGGAGCCCCAUUGGUGCCGCCGCCCUGGAGCCCCAUUGCUGCCGCCGCCCUGGAGUCCCACUGCCCACAUGCCAGAUCGGGAACUCCCAGCACGCCACCAUCACGAUUCCUUCCUCGGAGCACCCUACUGGCCGCCGAAGGCCCUGCGAAGGACAACUGGUGGCCGGAGCUCCCGUGACGCCUCGAAAUCUGACCGUCGAACGGUCUUCCCCGCGCGACGCCCUGACGAGGUGCACAACUCCCGCCCUCUGCCGCUCUUCCCAGGAGUGGAGCGAAUGUGAGGAGGAGGAUCCCUGCGACCAACUAGACGCUCGCUGCCGCGAUGUCUUGACAAGAAAGGUAAUCUUGACCCCUUUAGAAUGUCAACUGGAUCAAAAAAAAUAUGGUGGGAAUGUAAACAUGAAAAUCCAUACGCCGUGUUCAGUUGUUAUUUCCGCUCUGCUUUGUCAAUUUGGUAAUUGCACAACUAUUUGUUAAUAAUUCCAGUACAAUAUGUUUAGCGCAAGUACCUAUAUGCAAUAUGCAAUGAGGUUUUUUUUUCCUUUGUUGAGCGAUGGUAAAUGGUUUAAGAUGUUAGAUUGGAUGGUGUUGAGCGUGCUUUGAUACUCCUGGACAAUCAGUGUCAUCCCAACAUUUUUCACUUCAGAUAUCCGCAUCAGUUCCAUGAGAACUAGAAAUACGAUGAAUACAUCCAAUGGCACUAUUUUGUGUGUGUAAAUUCAUUUAGGUCUGAUGUGAAUCAAAUGCUACGAGGAGUUAAAUAGAUGCAUGUAAAAAGUGAAGAAGAGUUGCAACAUUGGGUACUCCAAGAAAUGUCCUUAUGAAUUGGCUAUGGCGACAAUGACUCAAGGGAUGGACAUGGAUAUCAUGCCAAGUUGGAACUGUGGCCUGGUAUUUCUUAGAGAGGUACUCACUAAAUUGCUUGAUUGAAGAUUGAAUUUAUUUCAUUGUACUCCACUAUAGUUUUUUACCCUUUGCAUAAUUGCAUUUAUUUUAAAUACUCGCAAAGAUAUAAUUUUUAGGUUGCCGCAUAUAGUAUCGGAUCUCAUGUCCAUCAUUUCCAUAUAUAAAUAGAGUUCUUAUGUAAAUGAAUCAAAAUCUUCGCAUUGAGCCGGCUCUUGUCUUUGCUGACACUUGCUCACAAGCGGUGGGAAGAACGGCACUUCAUCAGUAUGGAUGACGGCGGUCACAGCUACGGCAUCACCAUCGGACGAGGGAAGCAGGAAGCCAGAAGUUGCCGCCUGCCAGUAUUAAUUCCGUGGACGUUGCAGCUUCGUGCCAUGCUCCUUUCUGGUAGACUGAAAAUUUCCCGAAGCUGGUUGGGGCAGUUUUUUCAGUGUUGCAUGACUCCACGAUGAAGAGAAAGUGAAGAUAACCAGCAUUGAUAAAAAUGUCAUAUUUUCUACCAUGAAGUUUUCCAUCACAUCAGAUGUAAGGAUAUGGCAUCUGCGGUCUGGGACAUGAUUAUGGUGCUUGAAGACCGAUAUCUGGAUAGAGAAUUAUCAGGAGGACAUAGAAGAUUAUCAGCAAAUUGUGCCCACGCGUGCUGGAUUUUCCAGAAAAUUGUGUUUUGGACCAAAAGAUAGUACUAAGCAGAGUUGGAACAAUUCAAGUAGACACUUCGGAGUUUGGGAACCAUAGUGAUCUCGGUGCAAAAAGGACGGAUGGUGUAUGUUGUUCACAUCACCAAGCUCCAGAAAAUAUAUUUGCAUGACUUUCCUCUCCGGACGGUUUCUUGGGCCGGAGCACGCAGAUAGAGGUGAGCCAGAGCAGCCUGCAGCUAGAGGCUAGAGAGAGCUUCCCAAGUCGUAGCGCACUUCAGCUAGAGGCCGGCGAGGGCCUCUAGAGCCAGAGCACACUGAAGCUAGAGAUCGGCGAAGAAAUGUCCCUUGGCCGUGGCGCUGAUUGGCAUCAGGGAUGCGCACAUUCUAUCCCCAUCCUGCCGGACCAUUGCAAGGUUGCAGGGCCAUUACUAAGCUUCCUCAUCUGUUCUUAAUUAUGGUCGAACUUCUGGGUAAAUUACGUUCCAUGCAAGUUUCAGUUUCGGAGCUCAGCUUGAGCAACUCUUGAUUUCUUAGGCUGCUUGCUUGAUGCUUGAUUGAUCAACUGGAACAAAGGUAUGCAAAGCUUGCAUAUACAAAAAUAAAAUUUGGAACUUGGAUGCUGGCAAUGCUGAAGCCAAUGAUUGGUGUACCACGUCGUGAACUGUCUCCGGUGUCCUCAUUGACAUUGGACAAGAUGUUGUUGGUUGGCAGCUUGGCUCUUAUAUAGAAAGAUGGAAUCACCACUCACCGCUGCCAUUGUGUCAAAAAUUCAUCUCAUUCGCUUGCUACUCUUGGCGUUUUAUUACUGGUCA
Molecule: RNA transcript, 2436 nt
Organism: Lolium perenne
Lineage: Eukaryota; Viridiplantae; Streptophyta; Magnoliopsida; Poales; Poaceae
Source: RefSeq, a predicted model, not a curated record